UGAGCACUUCUUGAUCUUUCCCUAGCCUCAUCCAUAGCAUUGUUGAAACCCUGAGUAUCAACUAGCAGACCCCUCUCUUCUGCCAUCAACUGAGUCAAAUCUAAUGGAAAUCCAUAUGUAUCCCACAAGAUAAAAGCAUCCUGCCCACUCAAUAUCUUCCCUUGUACAUCCUGAGCGGCCUUCUUAAAUUUCUCGAUUCCCUUUAGUAAAGUUUUCCCAAAACUUGCUUCCUCCUCCGCAAUUAUCUCCCUAAUUCGCACUUCAUGUUGUUUUAGCUCUGGGAAGACAUCACCCAUCACUUUCACCACCGUACUCACAAGUCCAUUGAAAAAUCCUUCUUGAGCUUUUAAAACUUCACUUCCAUAUCGAACUGCUCGACGAAG
RNAcentral lists this unclassified non-coding RNA (383 nucleotides) under Hevea brasiliensis (rubber tree). The record is from RNAcentral. Lineage: Eukaryota; Viridiplantae; Streptophyta; Magnoliopsida; Malpighiales; Euphorbiaceae.